RNAcentral lists this ribosomal RNA (253 nucleotides) under uncultured bacterium. RNAcentral's name for it is "partial 16S ribosomal RNA". It matches the Rfam family "Bacterial small subunit ribosomal RNA", at positions 524 to 776 of the family's 1533-position model. The record is from RNAcentral.
UACAGAGGGGGCAAGCGUUAUUCGGAAUUAUUGGGCGUAAAGGGCGCGUAGGCGGCUUUGCAAGUGACGGGUGAAAUCCCUCGGCUUAACCGAGGAACUGCCUGUCAAACUGCAUGGCUUGAGACCGGGAGAGGUGAGUGGAAUUCCCAGUGUAGCGGUGAAAUGCGUAGAUAUUGGGAGGAACACCAAUGGCGAAGGCAGCUCGCUGGGACGUUACUGACGCUGAGACGCGAAAGCGUGGGGAGCAAACAGG